CUAAUAAUCUUUUCAUAUAUCCCUUUGCAUGCUUCUCAAACACCUGCAUGUGCCUAAACCCUGACUCGCACACAUGCACAGAUCUGUGUCUCACGCUCAUCUGUCAGUGUGUCAUCAUGGAGAACUUCCGCCCCCUCUUUCCUGUCCAUCCGAGGGCAGAGUGAGAGUGUUAGAGUAAAGGGAAACUGAAGACGCCCAAGACUGAGGCGAAAGAGUGAUUCAAGUUGUUUUCUGGAAUAACAAAGAACAUUUUUAUUCCUAUUGAGUAUUUUGUAAAAUGCAAACUGUUUUUAGACUUACUGUUCUAGAUUUCCUUAGCUAAAAGUCAACUCACACUCCCCACUGAAGCACCGUACCUGUCUCCUUCUCUUUCAUCUGACAGAAAAAUAGAUUCAUUUCAAGGAGAAGCAACAGUUAUUCUUGAAUAUUUCACCAGCAGCUCGCCUGCCAAAUGCAACCACUUGGAA
Long non-coding RNA from Sinocyclocheilus grahami, 467 nucleotides. RefSeq lists it as uncharacterized. Lineage: Eukaryota; Metazoa; Chordata; Actinopteri; Cypriniformes; Cyprinidae. The record is from RefSeq and is a predicted model, not a curated record. The transcript is spliced from 2 exons.